RNAcentral lists this ribosomal RNA (429 nucleotides) under bacterium. RNAcentral's name for it is "partial 16S ribosomal RNA". It matches the Rfam family "Bacterial small subunit ribosomal RNA", at positions 355 to 776 of the family's 1533-position model. The record is from RNAcentral.
UAGGGAAUCUUCGGCAAUGGGGGCAACCCUGACCGAGCAACGCCGCGUGAGUGAAGAAGGUUUUCGGAUCGUAAAGCUCUGUUGUAAGAGAAGAACGUGUGUGAGAGUGGAAAGUUCACACAGUGACGGUAACUUACCAGAAAGGGACGGCUAACUACGUGCCAGCAGCCGCGGUAAUACGUAGGUCCCGAGCGUUGUCCGGAUUUAUCGGGCGUAAAGCGAGCGCAGGCGGUUUAAUAAGUCUGAAGUUAAAGGCAGUGGCUUAACCAUUGUUCGCUUUGGAAACUGUUAAACUUGAGUGCAGAAGGGGAGAGUGGAAUUCCAUGUGUAGCGGUGAAAUGCGUAGAUAUAUGGAGGAACACCGGUGGCGAAAGCGGCUCUCUGGUCUGUAACUGACGCUGAGGCUCGAAAGCGUGGGGAGCAAACAGG